AUAACCUGCCUCAAGGCUGGGGAUAACAUUUGGAAACAGAUGCUAAUACCGAAUAAAACUUAGUAUCGCAUGAUAUCAAGUUAAAAGGCGCUACGGCGUCACCUAGAGAUGGAUCCGCGGUGCAUUAGUUAGUUGGUGGGGUAAAGGCUUACCAAGACGAUGAUGCAUAGCCGAGUUGAGAGACUGAUCGGCCACAUUGGGACUGAGACACGGCCCAAACUCCUACGGGAGGCUGCAGUAGGGAAUCUUCCACAAUGGGCGCAAGCCUGAUGGAGCAACGCCGCGUGUGUGAUGAAGGCUUUCGGGUCGUAAAGCACUGUUGUAUGGGAAGAAAUGCUAAAAUAGGGAAUGAUUUUAGUUUGACGGUACCAUACCAGAAAGGGACGGCUAAAUACGUGCCAGCAGCCGCGGUAAUACGUAUGUCCCGAGCGUUAUCCGGAUUUAUUGGGCGUAAAGCGAGCGCAGACGGUUGAUUAAGUCUGAUGUGAAAGCCCGGAGCUCAACUCCGGAAUGGCAUUGGAAACUGGUUAACUUGAGUGUUGUAGAGGUAAGUGGAACUCCAUGUGUAGCGGUGGAAUGCGUAGAUAUAUGGAAGAACACCAGUGGCGAAGGCGGCUUACUGGACAACAACUGACGUUGAGGCUCGAAAGUGUGGGUAGCAAACAGGAUUAGAUACCCUGGUAGUCCACACCGUAAACGAUGAAUACUAGGUGUUAGGAGGUUUCCGCCUCUUAGUGCCGAAGCUAACGCAUUAAGUAUUCCGCCUGGGGAGUACGACCGCAAGGUUGAAACUCAAAGGAAUUGACGGGGACCCGCACAAGCGGUGGAGCAUGUGGUUUAAUUCGAAGCAACGCGAAGAACCUUACCAGGUCUUGACAUCCUUUGAAGCUUUUAGAGAUAGAAGUGUUCUCUUCGGAGACAAAGUGACAGGUGGUGCAUGGUCGUCGUCAGCUCGUGUCGUGAGAUGUUGGGUUAAGUCCCGCAACGAGCGCAACCCUUAUUGUUAGUUGCCAGCAUUCAGUUGGGCACUCUAGCCAAGACUGCCGGUGACAAACCGGAGGAAGGCGGGGACGACGUCAGAUCAUCAUGCCCCUUAUGACCUGGGCUACACACGUGCUACAAUGGCGUAUACAACGAGUUGCCAACCUGCGAAGGUGAGCUAAUCUCUUAAAGUACGUCUCAGUUCGGACUGCAGUCUGCAACUCGACUGCACGAAGUCGGAAUCGCUAGUAAUCGCGGAUCAGCACGCCGCGGUGAAUACGUUCCCGGGUCUUGUACACACCGCCCGUCACACCAUGGGAGUUUGUAAUGCCCAAA
RNAcentral lists this ribosomal RNA (1317 nucleotides) under Leuconostoc citreum. RNAcentral's name for it is "bacterial SSU rRNA". It matches the Rfam family "Bacterial small subunit ribosomal RNA", at positions 121 to 1425 of the family's 1533-position model. Lineage: Bacteria; Bacillati; Bacillota; Bacilli; Lactobacillales; Lactobacillaceae. The record is from RNAcentral.